CCUACGGGAUGCAGCAGUCGGGAAUAUUGGACAAUGGGGGAAACCCUGAUCCAGCCAUGCCGCGUGUGUGAAGAAGGCUCUAGGGUUGUAAAGCACUUUUAGUAAGGAGGAAGGCUCAGUAGUUAAUACCUGCUGGGAUUGACGUUACUUACAGAAAAAGCACCGGCUAAUUUCGUGCCAGCAGCCGCGGUAAUACGAAAGGUGCAAGCGUUAAUCGGAAUUACUGGGCGUAAAGCGCGCGUAGGCGGCUUAGUAAGUUAGAUGGGAAAGCCCCGGGCUCAACCUGGGAACUGCAUCUAAAACUGCUAGGCUAGAGUAUGGUAGAGGAUGGCGGAAUUUCCUGUGUAGCGGUGAAAUGCGUAGAUAUAGGAAGGAACAUCAGUGGCGAAGGCGGCCAUCUGGACCAAUACUGACGCUGAGGUGCGAAAGCGUGGGGAGCAAACAGGAUUAGAUACCCGAGUAGUC
This 465-nucleotide ribosomal RNA is filed under the name uncultured bacterium. Its description in RNAcentral is "bacterial SSU rRNA". It matches the Rfam family "Bacterial small subunit ribosomal RNA", at positions 338 to 795 of the family's 1533-position model. The record is from RNAcentral.